UACGGAGGAUGCAAGCGUUAUCCGGAAUGAUUGGGCGUAAAGCGUCCGCAGGUGGCAAUGUAAGUCUGCUGUUAAAGAGUCUAGCUCAACUAGAUAAAAGCAGUGGAAACUACAUAGCUAGAGUACGUUCGGGGGCAGAGGGAAUUCCUGGUGUAGCGGUGAAAUGCGUAGAGAUCAGGAAGAACACCAGUGGCGAAGGCGCUCUGCUAGGCCGUAACUGACACUGAGGGACGAAAGCUAGGGGGAGCGAAUGGG
Molecule: ribosomal RNA, 255 nt
Filed under: uncultured bacterium
Lineage: Bacteria
Description: partial 16S ribosomal RNA
Rfam family: Bacterial small subunit ribosomal RNA
Source: RNAcentral